CGCAAGAUCACGCUCAGCCUCGAGGUCAGUUACCCUCUUAUCUCGAGCUUCUACUGCCUCCUGGAGCUCGACCACCCUCCGGGAAUCAUCCAUUCCCCUGAGCAAGCCACCUCGAGCUAUACUCAAAGCCUGCAAGCACAUUUAUCAUUAGCUAUAACCUCGAUAUAAAAAGACCAUAAAUCUUAUAAUCGCAGUUCACAUGGAAUAUAAAUGACUCAAGGUCCUUGCCGGCCUCUUCAUACCCGAGCCUUUGUUGGUAUUUGUCGACGAUGCCCGACAUCAAGUAUGAUUGCCCUGUAUUCUCGACUUUUUUAGUGCCUGAGGGAACAUUAUCCUCGUCUAGAUCCACUACCGGAUGCUCCCGAGGAGGCGGAAGAGAGCGAGAUGGAAUAGAUCGAGGAGUGUUUCUUCCAGGCGACGUGCUUCGGCAUCUCGAGGACUCUCCUGCCCCGUUUCUUUUCUAUUGCUCGGGCCCAGAAGCUCGAGGCCUCUUUUUCCCCCUUUUUUGCCCAAGGGUUCGAAUCUGAGGAGCCCUCGACUUGGACUGCACGGCCUGUCGCAAAGCAGUUGGAUCAAAAGUCAUUGCUGCAAAAUAUCGACGACAUAUUAGAAACGAGCAUAUAAAUAAGCAAAAAAUUUAAGAAAAAAAUGUACAUGUCCUACCCUCGACGCCUUUAAUGUCUGCACGAUCGAGAACGUCAUCCCCGAGGAUGUCGUCCAUAUCAAACACCAGAGGCUCGAGAUUUUCUAACAUCUGCCUGUCCCUCUCUAGACUCUCAAAGUAUGCCUGACCCUCACAAAACCUCGACGUAUCUGGAAAUCCCCAUCGAGACUUGAAUGGAAGGUCGAUAUCUUGAGAAAUCACGUAGAACCAUUUCUCCUUCCACCCUUUUAAGGAGCUGG
Molecule: long non-coding RNA, 903 nt
Filed under: Olea europaea subsp. europaea
Lineage: Eukaryota; Viridiplantae; Streptophyta; Magnoliopsida; Lamiales; Oleaceae
Source: RNAcentral